AUAGAUAACUAUACUAUGCAUCCCUGUUAGUUCUUUCUCUUUUGUUUUCUUUUUUGAAAGAGGUUCUUGCUAUGUAGUGCAGGCUGACCUUAAACUAGUUUUUGUAGUCCAGGCGGGUCUUGAACUCAGGGUGAUCCUCCUGUCCCAGUCUCCUGAGCGCUGCCGGGGUUACAGGAGUGCGCCUCUGCACUCACCAUUUCCCUCCCUCUGAUGGCUAGCACCUCCCUCUGCCAUUCAUGAAAUGUGAUCUGGGAGGAUUGUCUGGGAUUGUCAAGCAUUUCUCUUAAAUCUCACAACUCACAUAAGCCAGAUACGCGCUGAGGUCCUGGUCCUGAUGCUCCCGGAGGACUCAGCUUUGUGUGUUUCUCCUCCUCUUUCCUGGCCACAUAUCUUUGGUCAAACGUUUCAGAUUCUCAGAUCUUCUGCUUCUGCAUCUUGAUGCUGAUGAGCAGUGGUGAUCUGGGCCCUGAAUGAUUUUGGGGAGAAUUAAAAUUAAACACAAAGGUCAGCAUAGAGACACUUUAUGGUGUCCUAUGAAGCACUCUGCCACAUUUCCAAGGCUUCAGGUCCUCUGCAGAGGGUUCAUCUCAGAGCUGCCAGAAGGGUAAGGAAAACCUCACGGGUGAGCAGAAGCUAGAAAAGUCAUCUGUGCUCGGCAAAGCCCCAGAAACAGGCAGAAGGAUCAGCUCUGUGCCACCCCAAUUCUAUAGUUCUCUGGUCUGUUUCUACUAAGCAUCUCUAUCCUGGCUUUGGCUGUCCUAGAGUCUUCCCCCCAUACCUUUUGCUAUCUUACAUCUGCCCACUUAGAUGCGCUGAAUGAGUUUGACACUCAGUGUGUCAAUGGAGAGAUUCAGGUUGUGACCUCGCUCAUGUGCUAGUGAGUGUCUAAUACCUGCCUCCUCAUGGGAACUCAUGUGAGGGUGGUGGAAGUCCUGAUAGUUCCUCAACUUUUGCCAAUUAUCUUACUGCAGAAACCCCCAACAUGGUGGAUUUCAAUCUACCCAUUACCUGGCUCCUCAGACUCUGAAAAUCAACCAAUUGGAUUCUGUGAGCCAAUGCAAGCCAGUGACAGCACAUGACUAUCAUCCUUUCUGCCACCUCCCAGUGUCUGGUCUGUCCAAGAAUUAGUUCUUUGGACUGAGUUUCCACCUUGGUCCAGUUAGCUGUGGCCGAGAUACGAUGAUCUAACACAUCCCAGUGAAUCCAAGUAGGCAGAAGGAACUGCCAAUUACUAAUGUGCUCUUCAAUGAAGAUUUGUUCGGCUCUCCUUCUGUGGAUGUCUCUGACACUAUAAUGAAUGAAAGGGAAAUAUACACAAUGACAAUAACUUGGUACACAUUAUGAAGUGACUGAUGCCACAAGAGAGACACAGGAGAUGUCACUUCCAACAGGGAGCUGACGGGAAGACUGUCUAGUACCUAAAAUUUGAAUUGAGCUUUUGUGGAAGACAGGAUUAAAUGAUGGAGGGAUAGAGGAAAAUUUUUUCAAGACAGAGAACAGAAGUAAGAAUGAAAACCUGCACUGGAGAAACUGUGGCAUAGGCAUGGAAUUGGUGAGUUUUCGUGCAGAAAAUGAUGAGGAGAGAAGUGUGAUUGUUUACCAAGGAAAAUUGUAAGGGCCUUUGCAUGUCAGAAUGAGGUGCCAAAUAUGUCACGCUGCUAUUCUUUGGUGGCUUACCAAACAAAGGCAAACUAUAAGUCAUAAAGCUAUUAUCUAUAUGAUCACAUAUCUCAAUGAAUACAGAAUAGUGAAAGUUUAUUAGAGUAAGGUUUUGCAGAGUCAUAAAUGAAUUUUUGACAUUUUUCAUUCUUUCAAAUAGAGAAUAUUAUUAUUAGUAUUGAUUCUUUCAUUGAAUUGUGUUAACAAGAACAAGAUUACUGAUAAGACUGGGAUGAAUCUGCAUGAAUAAUCUUUGUCACUCCCACAGACACCCAAAACACUAAGAAACAAGCAAACAAGAAAUCCUAUUAAUUACUGUAACACCUUAGAGUAGGUUGAAUGAUGAUUUUCUAAGAGUAUUGUCCUUAUUGCUAUAAGCUGCGAAGAGGGUCUUAACUGGGACAAAGUGUCUUGCAUGUAUAAUUAAGUUAAGGAUCAUGAGAUAAAAAGAUCAUCCUGGAUUGCUCAGGAUGACUGUCAACUCACUGAAAAGCAUCCUAAUAAGAAUCACCCCAAAGAAGAGGAGACAAUGUGGUCAUCAACAUAGAGAUUAGAGCCAUAGGGAAUGGAAUACAAAGAAUCAUCAUAAACUGAAAGAAAAAAAACCAGAUCAUUUGCUACAUCCUUUUGAGGGAACAGGACCCUGCUGCUGCCUUGUUAUUAGACUUUGGGCUUCCAGAAUUGUGAAAGGUAUAUAUGUUUGAUCGUUUAAAACAACAGCUUUACCAUCAUUUGCCAAAACAGGUACAAAACACACAUUCUUUGUAUCAGUAUGAGAAUGAGGUGUAGAAGGCUCAAUUAACUUACCUAAGGUGCCUCUGCUAGAAAGUGAUUAGGGCAUGAGACUAAGUCAGGGAUUUUCAGAGUUUGCUUUCAACCUUAAUAAAUAAAACACCAUACCUCGUAACUAUGUCUACUCCAUUAGAGUUAGAUAAGAGGCAAUCACAAGGUGUUAUAGGAGUGCACAUAACCCAGUUUAUGAAUAAAUAUCAGGGCGGAUAUUCUAGAGGAGAUGAUAUUGGAUUGAGUUUUAAUGAUGGAGAUACAGAGAAUAAAGUGAGGAAAUGUUUCUGAGCAGAGAGAAUAAAUAUAAGACUGAGAAAGAGCAAGGCAUUUUUAAGGAAUUACAAUAGGAAAGUAUGGACAAGGACAUUUUUGGAAGGUGAAUGGAAAAUGAGGCAGAAGUUGAAGGUGAGGACCAGCUGGUCUUACGUCUUACGUGCUAGGCUCCAGAUUGUGGAGUCCUCAGGCAGCUCGGAGAUUGGAUGACUUGGUGCAGUAUGAUCUUGUGACAAGCUGGGUCUCUUACAGAUUUAUGAGAUGAGAUUAAAAACUACAGUGAAAUUUUAAAUUUAAAAAUUAUCACUGAAAAAGACAUGUUGCCAUGAAUCCUUUUCAAAAUAUCCUGCUUCACUUUGAACACACUUAUGCCAUCUUUUUGCCACUUACUGGAGCAGUUCUGGAGGUUCUUUUCUGUGAGUGUCGUUAGUUGCACUGUCAUGGCUGUCAUGACAUCCUGAUCGACUCAAAAUGCUUCCCUUUCAAAGUCAUUUUGACUUUGAGGGAGAACAAGAAGUCACAUCAUGCCCAAUCAGGUGAAUAAGGAGGAUGAAGACAUAACGUGUUUUUAGGAGCCCACUUUCCUGUCGGAGGGCAUUUGACAGUGGAAUUCAUCCUAUUUUUGAUUAUACUUUAUAAGUACACUCAUUAUAACAUUUUAAAAACUUAAACAUUCACCAUGCAUUUUGAGUAUAUCUCGUAUAGCAGAAGGCAGCCUGGAGAGUAGCUAAACUUGUGCUGAGACAGGAGGUAAAUUCUCCUUAAGGACUGGUCGGGAUGUGCAUUGCAACACUGGGCAUGAGGAAGGAGAGGAGGAAGAAGACUUAGGAGCUACUCUAAGGAGAUAACGGGGUGAGGUCUGAUGACUCUGCAAAGGGCAGAGGAAAAGAGGAGCAUUGGCUGCUUCCUUACAAGUUCCAGGUUUGGGGAACUGGGUCCAUGGCAGUGUCAUCUGCUGUCAUAGAAAAUAAAGGAAGGGCAGUGAGUGGGAUGGGUUUGGAAGCUGUGAGUGUAAAUAAGGACUUCAUUAGUGCUGAGCAUCUUGCAUGUUUUACUCUGAAUAUGAAGACACCUACAUAUGAAUCAUGACUCGGGAUUAUAGUCAUGGAACAAACUGAAGUUGUGUACCGUGUACUCUAAGAGAGGGAGAAAGAGGAGAAGCCAUGCUGAACAUCUCCUCACAUUUCCCUGGUGAGGCAGCCAAUGCUGAGGUGAUGAAGGACCUGGGCCAAUGUUGCAAGGUCAGGCUCCUGGCACCUCUGGGUUCAGAUCCCAGCUCCCUUCCCCUGCCUCCUGGCCAUGGAGCCAGCAUGCUCUUUGAAACUUGCUUCCCCCAUUCAUUAGCUGUCUGACCUUUGGAAACUUGCUUAGCCACUCAGCGUUGGAGUUCCAGCAGCUGUCAAAAAGAGGAUAAAAACAUAGUGCCUGCUCUUUCCACCUCAAAUAAGAGCCUGUGAAUGAAAUCUCUACUGUGGAAAAAAUUUAGAAAAAUGUGAGUAAUUAUUUAUAUAGUGAACCUAGCCCUUUCCCUGGAAUUUUAUUUUUUUGAGCUAAGCCUUGAGUUCGGCAAGUUUUCUUGGGAUGUGCUCAUUUCUCCUAAUAGUUUGGUAGCAUGAGUUUUCUGGUAAACAGAGUUUAAACAACGUGGAAUGAUUUAAAUAUUUCCAAAUCAUUUCAUCAUCACAACCUGUUUCUAAAUGUGCCUCCUUUCUUCUUUCUUUCCAGCCUUCUUCCCUCUCCUUUCCUCUCCUGUUCUUUUAGUCUCUUUCAUCUUUGAAGCACCAAUGGUUGAAUGCUGAGCUCCAUCUCUAGCCCUUUUACAAUUUUUUAGUUUGAAAUAGAGUCUUCCUACAUUGUUGAGGCUAGUCUUAAACUUGCAAUCUUCCUGCUUCAGCUUUCUGAAGAGCUGGAAUUAUAACUGUGUGCCACCAAGCCUGGCCCAUGGGUACUUCUUUAUAGCACUGUAAAAACCUUCUCCAUAGUUUUGCUGACCGUGGGAACCCGGACCUUUAACUAUUUGUCUCAUGCAAGAUAUUCAGAAAGGGACACAUUGUAUGCUAAAUGUGGUGUUGGAAUUAGAAGAAAUUCUCAGCAUCUCAUUUGAGAAAGACGGGUUUAGUUAAUCUUUUUUAAUUUUUAAUUUUUAUUAGUACACGUUUGUAGUAUAAAAUAAUUACAUUCACGGUGGGGGGAGUUGGCAGACAUAUACAGUGCAUCUCAGGUAUUUUUUACCCUUCACCUGCUUUCCUUUCUUUUUUUCUCAUUACCAGAUUCAUUUAUUUAUCUUAUAAGUCCUUAUAAUAUUAAUUUUCAUGUAUACAGAUUAACAGCCAGAGUACCAGUCAAAAAGAAUAAAACACAUAAGACAGUUAUACUAAAUCAAGGUACUCUUUUAGAUACAUUGCCUGUGUUAGAUUGCAAUAAUUUUUUUCUUCCUAUCAUCUGUCUUUUAGUUUUCAUUUUAAUUGUAUACUGAGUUUUUCAUAUGAGAGAAUGUAUGCAAUAUUUUUAGCUUGAGUGUCUUAUUUAGUUCAUUUAGCAUUAUGGUCUCAAAGAAUUUGUUUUCCUAUAAAUGACUCAAGUUUAUCCUUUAGGUAAAGUAGUACUCUACUGUUGAUUUAUCUCUCAAUGGACAUACAGGCCUCUUCCAAUGUUUGACAUGUGGUGAGCAAGAGCAUCUGGGCAGCACUGCGGAAUAUGUGUGCAAUGAAUGAAUCACAGAAGCCACACUUGUCUACAUGUAGCUGAGUCUAUAAAGAAGUGAAGAAUCUCUUAAAGACCACAGCUUCCCCUCUAUUUUUACAAAACUGUAAUUGAAGAGGGGAAUGGGAAAAAAAGAAUGAAGAUAUACUAUGCACAGGUACAAAUUCUCUAUGAUGAAUGUGAUCAUUGUGUAUGUAAAAAAUGUACCAAAGAAAUUUUAAAAAAUAAAGCCUACAACUCCAAAUAAA
Long non-coding RNA from Cavia porcellus (domestic guinea pig), 5669 nucleotides. RefSeq lists it as uncharacterized. NCBI's taxonomy places the organism in Eukaryota, Metazoa, Chordata, Mammalia, Rodentia, Caviidae. The record is from RefSeq and is a predicted model, not a curated record. The transcript is spliced from 2 exons.